RNAcentral lists this long non-coding RNA (455 nucleotides) under Homo sapiens (human). RNAcentral describes it as "HSALNT0361983". The record is from RNAcentral. Lineage: Eukaryota; Metazoa; Chordata; Mammalia; Primates; Hominidae.
CCAUUGGCUGGAUCAAAAAGGAAGCCAGAGGGUGAGAGUGCCUGUUAAUAUAAUCUACCAAGGUCAGAUGUAGGAGGAUGGACCAUGGAUCUGGUGGGUCAAGUGAAAGAAUUCCAGUGCAACGUACCUGGCAACUAGAAAUCACUUGUGUUCUUCAGCACUGAGAUGAGGAAAUUGAGAUUCACUGAAGGAGAAAGAUUACACUUCUUUCACUUUGGCCUGAGCUAAGAAAAAUGUGCUUCUGUUUAUUCCCCCAAGAUGACAACUUAAGUCUUUGAGUCUAUCAGUUCCAGGCAAGGGUCAAGCUCCACAGGACCAGCCAUCAGGGAAAUAACAUGACUUGUUAUUUCCAGACUACGUUCAGAACAGCUGGUCAUGCUCCCUCUCUCGGACAAUAGAACUUGAAUGAGUCUAAAGAGGCCCAGAGCUUCAAAACAAAAAGUUUACCUGUAGGA